Molecule: transfer RNA, 75 nt
Filed under: Trichonephila clavipes
Lineage: Eukaryota; Metazoa; Arthropoda; Arachnida; Araneae; Nephilidae
Rfam family: tRNA
About the family: Transfer RNA (tRNA) molecules are approximately 80 nucleotides in length. Their secondary structure includes four short double-helical elements and three loops (D, anti-codon, and T loops).
Source: Rfam by way of RNAcentral
GUCCCUGUAGCGCAAUGGACAACACACGUUGGACUUCUAAUCCAAAGGUUGUGGGUUUGAAUUCCACCUGGGAUG